Molecule: ribosomal RNA, 497 nt
Filed under: uncultured bacterium
Lineage: Bacteria
Description: partial 16S ribosomal RNA
Rfam family: Bacterial small subunit ribosomal RNA
Source: RNAcentral
GACGAACGCUGGCGGCGUGCCUAAUACAUGCAAGUAGAACGCUGACGAGAGGAGCUUGCUCUUCUUGGAUGAGUUGCGGACGGGUGAGUAACGCGUAGGUAACCUGCCUUUUAGCGGGGGAUAACUAUUGGAAACGAUAGCUAAUACCACAUAACACUGGCUGACACAUGUCAUUUAUUUGAAAGGGGCAAUUGCUGCACUACAAGAUGGACCUGCGUUGUAUUAGCUAGUAGGUGAGGUAAUGGCUCACCUAGGCGACGAUACAUAGCCGACCUGAGAGGGUGGUCGGGCAACAUGGGACCGAGACAACGCCCAGAAUCCCUCGGGGGGGAGGAGUAGGGGAUUUUUGGAAAUGGGGGGAAGGCUGACCGAGCCAAGACGCGUGAGUGAAGAAGGUCUUCGGAGCGUAAAGGCCUGUUGUUAGUGAAGAAAGGGCGUGAGAGUGGAAAGCUCACACUGUGACGGUAGCUAAACAGAAAGCGACGGCUAACUACGUG